This 329-nucleotide ribosomal RNA is filed under the name uncultured eukaryote. RNAcentral describes it as "partial 18S ribosomal RNA". It matches the Rfam family "Eukaryotic small subunit ribosomal RNA", at positions 1470 to 1796 of the family's 1831-position model. The record is from RNAcentral.
CCCUUAGAUGUCCUGGGCUGCACGCGCGCUACACUGAUGUGUCCAGUAAGCACCUAACCUCUUCCGAAAGGAACGGGUAACCUUUGCAAAGCACAUCGUGAUGGGGAUAGAUUAUUGCAAUUAUUAGUCUUGAACGAGGAAUUCCUAGUAAGCACAAGUCAUCAGCUUGUGUUGAUUACGUCCCUGCCCUUUGUACACACCGCCCGUCGCUCCUACCGAUUGAAUGGUCCGGUGAAGCGUUCGGACCGUGGCCUUUGGACGGUUCGCCGUCUGUUGGCUGCGGGAAGUUCGUUAAACCUUAUCAUUUAGAGGAAGGAGAAGUCGUAACA